GCCGGAGUGGUGAAAUUGGUAGACGCAGAGGACUCAAAAUCCUCCGAGGGCAACCUCGUGCCGGUUCGAGUCCGGCCUCCGGCACCA
This 87-nucleotide transfer RNA is filed under the name bacterium. RNAcentral describes it as "tRNA-Leu". It matches the Rfam family "tRNA". From Rfam's summary of the family: Transfer RNA (tRNA) molecules are approximately 80 nucleotides in length. Their secondary structure includes four short double-helical elements and three loops (D, anti-codon, and T loops). The record is from RNAcentral.